Molecule: ribosomal RNA, 471 nt
Filed under: uncultured organism
Description: partial 16S ribosomal RNA
Rfam family: Bacterial small subunit ribosomal RNA
Source: RNAcentral
CACUCCUGCGGGAGGCAGCAGUGGGGAAUAUUGCACAAUGGGCGCAAGCCUGAUGCAGCCAUGCCGCGUGUAUGAAGAAGGCCUUCGGGUUGUAAAGUACUUUCAGCGGGGAGGAAGGCGAUAAGGUUAAUAACCUUGUUGAUUGACGUUACCCGCAGAAGAAGCACCGGCUAACUCCGUGCCAGCAGCCGCGGUAAUACGGAGGGUGCAAGCGUUAAUCGGAAUUACUGGGCGUAAAGCGCACGCAGGCGGUCUGUCAAGUCGGAUGUGAAAUCCCCGGGCUCAACCUGGGAACUGCAUUCGAAACUGGCAGGCUAGAGUCUUGUAGAGGGGGGUAGAAUUCCAGGUGUAGCGGUGAAAUGCGUAGAGAUCUGGAGGAAUACCGGUGGCGAAGGCGGCCCCCUGGACAAAGACUGACGCUCAGGUGCGAAAGCGUGGGGAGCAAACAGGAUUAGAUACCCCAGUAGUCCC